UACGUAGGGCGCGAGCGUUGUCCGGAUUUAUUGGGCGUAAAGAGCUCGUAGGCGGCUCGUUGCGUCGGCUGUGAAAACCCGCAGCUAAACUGUGGGCUUGCAGCUGAUACGGGCGGGCUUGGAUUCGGUAGGGGAGACUGGAAUUCCUGGUGUAGCGGUGAAAUGCGCAGAUAUCAGGAGGAACACCGGUGGCGAAGGCGGGUCUCUGGGCCGAUACUGACGCUGAGGAGCGAAAGCGUGGGGAGCGAACAGG
Molecule: ribosomal RNA, 253 nt
Filed under: uncultured bacterium
Lineage: Bacteria
Description: partial 16S ribosomal RNA
Rfam family: Bacterial small subunit ribosomal RNA
Source: RNAcentral